GACGAACGCUGGCGGCGCGCCUAACACAUGCAAGUCGAACGAGAGAUGAGGAGCUUGCUCUUCAAAUCGAGUGGCGAACGGGUGAGUAACGCGUGAGGAACCUGCCUCAAAGAGGGGGACAACAGUUGGAAACGACUGCUAAUACCGCAUAAGCCCACGGCUCGGCAUCGAGCAGAGGGAAAAGGAGCAAUCCGCUUUGAGAUGGCCUCGCGUCCGAUUAGCUAGUUGGUGAGGUAACGGCCCACCAAGGCGACGAUCGGUAGCCGGACUGAGAGGUUGAACGGCCACAUUGGGACUGAGACACGGCCCAGACUCCUACGGGAGGCAGCAGUGGGGAAUAUUGCACAAUGGGGGAAACCCUGAUGCAGCGACGCCGCGUGGAGGAAGAAGGGUCUUCGGAUUGUAAAACUCCUGUUGUUGAGGAAGAUAAAUGACGGUACUCAACAAGGAAGUGACGGCUAACUACGUG
This 469-nucleotide ribosomal RNA is filed under the name uncultured bacterium. RNAcentral describes it as "bacterial SSU rRNA". It matches the Rfam family "Bacterial small subunit ribosomal RNA", at positions 28 to 507 of the family's 1533-position model. The record is from RNAcentral.